GCGGGAUUAACUCAGUGGUAGAGUGUCACCUUGCCAAGGUGAAAGUCGCGAGUCCGAAUCUCGUAUCCCGCUCCA
This 75-nucleotide transfer RNA is filed under the name Ruminococcaceae bacterium YAD3003. RNAcentral's name for it is "tRNA_Gly_GCC". It matches the Rfam family "tRNA". Rfam says of the family: Transfer RNA (tRNA) molecules are approximately 80 nucleotides in length. Their secondary structure includes four short double-helical elements and three loops (D, anti-codon, and T loops). RNAcentral also lists the same sequence under 17 other names. Lineage: Bacteria; Bacillati; Bacillota; Clostridia; Eubacteriales; Oscillospiraceae. The record is from RNAcentral.